CCUCUGAAUGAAUCUCUUAUAAGUGGGCUUCUGUCACUGUGGUGGUAUGAGAGCUAAUUUGCAUAAUCUCCCCCGGUUAAAGAAGGAUGCCCGGGAUGCUUUUACGGGGGGGGUGUUAGGAAUGAUAGGGGGGGCUUGUGGGGACACACAAUGAGGACUUUGUGCAUCUCCGCUGGUACAGGGUUAGACAGGGCCUACAGGACUACUGUGGGAGACACCUGUCAGGAUAGGAGCCUGAGGGAACUGGUACUGAACCCAUGAAGAGGCUUCUUUAAUGAGGCAUUGUGGAGGGUUGGUGGGUGUAUGAGUGUGUGUGUGUGCGAGAGAGCGAGAGAUUGAGUGUGUGUUUCAGAUCAAAUCAAAGUUUAUUGGUGGCGUACACAGUUUAGCAGAUGUUAUCGCAGGUGCAGCGAAAUGGUUAUGUUUCUAUCUCCAACAACGCAGCAAUAUGUAGCAAUACAAUAACAAUGCACACAUCAUCCACAAGUGACGUGUGUGUGUGUGUGUGUGUGUGUGUGUGUGUUGCUGGUAAUGUCUGUCAUGCUGCUCUGACAGCAGUAGUUUAACGCAGGCAAUCUGCUUAAUAUGCCCAAUGUGAGACAUUAGGUGUGUGUAUGAUCCAUUAGAUUAGAACAACAUUAAGGAGAUUGGGAGAUUUGGACUAUAUUGUUUUCUCACGGCACCGUGGAGAGAGCGAUAAAAUUACAAGGAACUAGAGAUUGUAGGUUUUAGCCCCAGCAAACAUGUCCACAUUGUCUCGAUGUGGGCCCAAUUCGGGCUAAAAUAUUGGCCCCAUCUAGGCUGCCCACAUUGGGCCGAUGCGCCUUUGCUCAUCGGCUCCACAUUGGCCCCCAAGGCAUUUGCCCAGUGUGGCUCAGUGUGGGCAGCCCAGAUCUGGUGAGGCAGCUGUCACUUUGUCUGAAAUACACCCUUCUUUUCCCAGCAAACAUGUCCAAAUUGUCACGAUUUGAACCCAAUGCAGGCUAAAAUAUUGACCCCUUGUAAGCUGCCCACAUUGGGCUGAUGCGCCUUCGCUAUUUAAUAUUUAUUUAUUUAAACUUAAUUCAAUGCAUAAAUUGCAUAAUUUUCUACUCUUACAGGUAUUUAUGGAACGUGAUACAAUUUUUUCAGAAAGACAACCAAGUUAUUACCAUCAUACAUACAGAAUAUAUUUAACAAGAGAAACAUUU
Molecule: long non-coding RNA, 1190 nt
Filed under: Salmo salar (Atlantic salmon)
Lineage: Eukaryota; Metazoa; Chordata; Actinopteri; Salmoniformes; Salmonidae
Description: lncRNA (ENSSSAG00000095173.1)
Source: RNAcentral